Small nucleolar RNA from Panicum hallii, 140 nucleotides. RefSeq annotates it as small nucleolar RNA Z247. The transcript has a single exon. The record is from RefSeq and is a predicted model, not a curated record. Lineage: Eukaryota; Viridiplantae; Streptophyta; Magnoliopsida; Poales; Poaceae.
CCUCUUCGCGAUGACGAGAUCAUUGCGUACCUGCUGGCUGGUCUGGGCGCGGACUAUGAUCCGUUUGUCACGUCCAUGACCACACGAAGCGAGGCGUUGUCAUUAGAUGACGUCUAUGCUCAUCUGUUAUCGUAUGAAGC